CGACGCAACGCGAAGAACCUUACCAAGACUUGACAUUGAUUGAAAAGCUAAGAGAUUAGCUCCUCUUCUUCGGAAGACAAGAAAACAGGUGGUGCAUGGCUGUCGUCAGCUCGUGUCGUGAGAUGUUGGGUUAAGUCCGCAACGAGCGCAACCCUAUCCUAUGUUGCCAGCGAGUAAUGUCGGGAACUCAUGGGAGACUGCCGCAGACAAUGCGGAGGAAGGCGGGGAUGACGUCAAGUCAUCAUGCCCCUUAUGUCUUGGGCUACACACGUACUACAAUGGACUUAAAUAGAGGGAAGCAAUACCGCGAGGUGGAGCCAAACCCAGAAACAAGUUCUCAGUUCGGAUUGUAGGCUGCAACUCGCCUACAUGAAGUCGGAAUCGCUAGUAAUCGCAGGUCAGCAUACUGCGGUGAAUACGUUCCCGGGCCUU
This 432-nucleotide ribosomal RNA is filed under the name uncultured Anaerosinus sp. RNAcentral's name for it is "bacterial SSU rRNA". It matches the Rfam family "Bacterial small subunit ribosomal RNA", at positions 952 to 1382 of the family's 1533-position model. Lineage: Bacteria; Bacillati; Bacillota; Negativicutes; Selenomonadales; Sporomusaceae. The record is from RNAcentral.